This 423-nucleotide ribosomal RNA is filed under the name uncultured eukaryotic phytoplankton. RNAcentral describes it as "bacterial SSU rRNA". It matches the Rfam family "Bacterial small subunit ribosomal RNA", at positions 358 to 795 of the family's 1533-position model. The record is from RNAcentral.
GGAAUUUUCCGCAAUGGGCGAAAGCCUGACGGAGCAAUACCGCGUGAGGGAAGACUGCCUAUGGGUUGUAAACCUCUUUUUUCAGGGAGGAAUAAAUGACGUGUACCUGAAGAAUAAGCAUCGGCUAACUCCGUGCCAGCAGCCGCGGUAAGACGGAGGAUGCAAGUGUUAUCCGGAAUCACUGGGCGUAAAGCGUCUGUAGGUGGUUGUUUAAGUCAACUGUUAAAUCUUGAGGCUCAACUUCAAAAUCGCAGUCGAAACUAUUCAACUAGAGUAUAGUAGAGGUAAAGGGAAUUUCCAGUGGAGCGGUGAAAUGCGUAGAUAUCGGGAAGAACACCAGUGGCGAAGGCGCUCUGCUGGGCCAUCACUGACGCUCAUGGACGAAAGCCAGGGGAGCGAAAGGGAUUAGAUACCCCUGUAGUC